This 498-nucleotide ribosomal RNA is filed under the name uncultured bacterium. RNAcentral describes it as "bacterial SSU rRNA". It matches the Rfam family "Bacterial small subunit ribosomal RNA", at positions 28 to 517 of the family's 1533-position model. The record is from RNAcentral.
GACGAACGCUGGCGGCGUGCCUAACACAUGCAAGUCGAACGGGGUAAUGACUUCGGUUAUUACUUAGUGGCGAACGGGUGAGUAACGCGUGAGAAACCUGCCUUUCAGUGGGGGACGAACAGUUGGAAACGACUGCUAAUACCGCAUAAUGUUAUUUGAGGGCAUCCUCGAAUAACCAAAGCUUUAUGUGCUGAAAGAUGGUCUCGCGUCUGAUUAGAUAGUUGGUGAGGUAACGGCUCACCAAGUCGACGAUCCAUAGCCGGACUGAGAGGUUGAACGGCCACAUUGGAACUGAGAAACGGUCCAGACUCCUACGGGAGGCAGCAGUGGGGAAUCUUCCGCAAUGGACGAAAGUCUGACGGAGCAAUGCCGCGUGAGUGAUGAAGGUUUUCGGACCGUAAAGCUCUUUUGUUUAUGACGAAUGUGCAUGAUGUGAAUAAUGUUGUGUAAUGACGGUAGUAAACGAAUAAGCCACGGCUAACUACGUGCCAGCAGCCG